GACGAACGCUGGCGGCGCGUCUAAGACAUGCAAGUCGAGCGAUUAAAGCCCCCGUUCGGGGGGUGUAUAAAGCGGCGGACGGGUGAGUAACACGUAGCUAACCUGCCCUUUGGAUCGGGAUAACAGUUCGAAAGGACUGCUAAUACCGGGUGCGACGGUUGACCGCAGGGUUGGCCGUGAGAGCGGCCCUUAAAAGCCGCGUCCAAAGGAGGGGGCUGCGGCCUAUUAGCUAGUUGGUGAGGUAACGGCUCACCAAGGCAGCAAUGGGUAGCUGAUCUGAGAGGAUGAUCAGCCACACUGGGACUGAGACACGGCCCAGACUCC
This 324-nucleotide ribosomal RNA is filed under the name uncultured bacterium. RNAcentral's name for it is "bacterial SSU rRNA". It matches the Rfam family "Bacterial small subunit ribosomal RNA", at positions 28 to 339 of the family's 1533-position model. The record is from RNAcentral.